Molecule: transfer RNA, 72 nt
Filed under: Planctomycetota bacterium
Lineage: Bacteria; Pseudomonadati; Planctomycetota
Also listed under: 1 other name
Description: tRNA-Lys
Rfam family: tRNA
About the family: Transfer RNA (tRNA) molecules are approximately 80 nucleotides in length. Their secondary structure includes four short double-helical elements and three loops (D, anti-codon, and T loops).
Source: RNAcentral
GGGGGUGUAGCUCAGUGGUAGAGCACCGGCCUUUUAAGCCGUAGGUCCUGGGUUCGAUCCCCAGCACCCUCA